Molecule: ribosomal RNA, 251 nt
Filed under: uncultured bacterium
Lineage: Bacteria
Description: partial 16S ribosomal RNA
Rfam family: Bacterial small subunit ribosomal RNA
Source: RNAcentral
CGUAGGGCCAGCGUUGUCCGGAUUUAUUGGGCGUAAAGAGCGUGUAGGCGGCCAGGUAGGUCUGGUGUGAAACUCGAGGCUCAACCUCGAGAUGUCAUCGGAAACCAUCUGGCUAGAGUCCGGAAGAGGAGAGUGGAAUUCCUGGUGUAGCGGUGAAAUGCGCAGAUAUCAGGAAGAACACCUAUGGCGAAGGCAGCUCUCUGGGGACGGUACUGACGCUGAGACGCGAAAGCGUGGGAGCGAACAGGAUU